Molecule: ribosomal RNA, 250 nt
Filed under: uncultured bacterium
Lineage: Bacteria
Description: partial 16S ribosomal RNA
Rfam family: Bacterial small subunit ribosomal RNA
Source: RNAcentral
UACGGAGGGUGCAAGCGUUGUCCGGAUUUAUUGGGUUUAAAGGGUGCGUAGGCGGCCCGGUAAGUCAGUGGUGAAAGCCCAUCGCUCAACGAUGGAACUGCCAUUGAUACUGCCGGGCUUGAGUACAGACGAGGUAGGCGGAAUUGAUAGUGUAGCGGUGAAAUGCAUAGAUACUAUCAAGAACACCGAUUGCGUAGGCAGCUUACUAGGCUGUAACUGACGCUGAGGCACGAAAGCGUGGGGAGCGAAC